CUACCGGCUUUGCGGUGUGUUUAAGUCAACGUCCGCGCUGUUCCGGAGUGGACUGCGUUUCUCAUAGACCCUGGGGGAGUUUGUGAACCUCAUCCUCUGGUUCAUUUUCCUUUAUGCUUUCGGUCACCGUUUUCCUUGUGGGCAUGGGAACAAGGGACAGAAGGAGAGAGAAGGAAUCUUAAGCAGGCUCUGUGCUCAGCACAGAACCCAACAUGGGGCUCAGUCCCACAACCCUGGGAUCAUGACCUGAGCCAAAAUCAAGAGUCGGACACUCAACUGACAAGAUACCCAGAUUUGGAGUCCAGAUGUGAGACAAAGACGUUUUUAGGGGGAAAAAAAGGCUCUCAAUGCAAGGUAAUGGAAGGAAAAUCUUGACUUGGAGGAUUCCCAAUUCCAGAAAUAACUGGCAAAAUAAAAGCACGAUUUAGGCAAGGGUCUCAAGACUGAGAUCUUAGCUAAAUGGAAAUAAUGGCUGGAAAUGGAACCAAUUAUAAAAAAGCGAAUCCAAUAACAUGGAUGUCUGAUUUUUAUCUACCCCACUGCCCCCACCUCCCAUUUCAUUAAAAAUAAAACAACAGAAAACAGCUUUUUAUCUCUGUUCAGAUCAGAUCAUUUCUAUUGCUCCACCUUCAAGUUUGCUGGAUUCUCUCCUCUAUAAUCUCCAUUUGGCUAUUGAGCCCAUUUGCAUUUUUACCCUGAUAUGUUGGUGGAUUCCUUUGUGUUUCUACUACUUUGAAUUUGUCGAACUUCGUGGACACAUAAAUUAUGAUGACUAUUAAAUGAACAUUUGUUUACUGGAGCACAGACUGCUGGAUGGGGAGUCAUGGUUCAACAACAGAACACAGGAGAAAUUGAAAUAGAGAAGUGCAUUACAUGUCUUGGAGGAAGUACACAAGAGGCCAGAUGGGAAGGUCAAGGCAGAGUGCAGACAGAGAAAGUACAACAUGGGGCACAUGGCUUUAUUACAGUAGAGUGCUUUAUGGUUCCUGGGCUGGGGCUGGAUUGGUCAAUACAAACCAAAAGAAUAGUAUUUUAGUAAGACUCCCACAGGAGUCUUAUCUAAGGGGCACAUACAGAUGCUGGUAGCCUGAGGAGACUUGAUCAGAAGGCUGUUGGGAAAUCAUAUCAGGAACUUUCAUUUGCUGUGACUCUGCAGGCUGCUACCUAGGGUAUGUGCUUAUAUGAGGGGGUUAGUGUCAGUUGAAGAUUUUGGCAAGACACUUAGCCAAACGAAAUGUAUGCCAAAGCAGCAAUAUUAGUUUAGCUAAUGAUAAUAGUAAAUAAUAGCUAAUAAUAAUAGCUUAGCUAAACUCUCAUUAUUAUUGUAAAUAAAUUUGGGAAGUUUUGAAGUUUUUUUAAUGCUUUUUUUUCGAAACCUCUCUGUUCAUUCUGGUAUUCCCGUUAUGCAUAUAAUGGUGCACUUCACUAGUGCCCCACAUUUCUCUGUUCAUUUUUCCUUAUUAUUUUUUCUGUGCUUAAACCUGUAUACUCACUAAUGACCUAUCUUCAAGUUUGCUAAUUCUUUCUUCUGCUAAUUCAAAUCUUUUGAACCCUUCUAAUGAAAUUUUCAAUUCUGGGAUUUCCAUUUUCUAUCUUUGCGGUACUUGGCUGGCUUAGUUGGUACAGCAUGUGACUCUUGAUCUCAAGGUUGUGAAUUCACACCCCACAUUGGGAUGGAGCCUACUCAAAAAUUUUUUUCUAUCUUUAUUGCCACACCUUACUUGAUGUAGCAUUGCCACUAUUUCUUUAAUCAUGAUUCCCUUUUGUUCUUUGAAUAUAUUUAUAAUGGCUUCUUUGAAGUCUUUGUCUAUUAAAUCUGACAUCUGGUUGCUCUAUUAGGCAGUCUCUUUUUCUUUUUGCCAAAGCAGGAGUCAUAUUCUGUAGUUUCUUUGCAUGUCUUAUAAGUUUUCUGUUGGCAAAUAAGACAUUUUAGAUAAUAUAUUGUUAUUUCUGCAUUCAUCUGCUUAGGAAAAUGUCAGAGGAGAAGGAUAUCCUCAAGAAAAGAUAGAAGUAGGGCUUGAGAUAUUCCAUGGCUACAAAGACCAGUUAGGGGUGUAAAUGGACCAAAAAAGAAAAAAAAAUUAAAGAUGUUUUUUAAAAGUAAAAAGGAUAUAAGGUUUGAUUCUGGGAAACUACUGUUUGGCUUCAUGGUUUAAAACUUGUUCAAAAGUACAACAUUCAUUUGGGCUUUAUGAUAGAAUAUCUGUUGUAUAUUGCAUCACUUUCUUUCCUGCCUCAAUGUGGAAAUUAAAGAGGGAGGAAUAGGCAAACCGGGAAUAUAGAAGGGCUGACCUAUUGCAGCUGUAGGUACUGUCACUCCUAGUUGGUGGGAAAAAGAGAGCAAGAGAAGGGGAAAUAGUUUUGAAUGUUUGGUCUCAUGAAUACUUUGCAACCUCUCAUUAUUUUACUGUAUUUUAGGGCUUUUUCAUAGAAAAUUUGUAUACACUGUAUACAUAGGUAUGAAAAAUAUCAACUGACCUUAUUAGUUAAGUACCCCUUAAUAUGCUCCAGCACUAAGCAAACAUUAAUUCAUUUUGUCUACAUAUUUACCUUUCCUGGAUAUCUCCUGUAAAAAGAAUUAUACAACAUGUGGUACUUUGUGACUAGUUUCUUUUAUUUACCCUAAAGUUUUGAAGAUUCAAGUUAUAGCACGUAUCCUUUUCAUUUCUUUUUAUUGUUGAAUAAUGUUACCUUGUAUGGGUAUGCCACAUUUUGUUUAUCCAUUCAUCAGUUGAUGGAUAUUUGGGUUGUUUCCAUGUUUUGGCUGUUAUGAAUAAUGCUGCUGUGAACAUAUGUACAUGUUUUAUGUGGACAUAUAUUUUCAUUUCUCUUGAUUAUAUACAUGGGGGUGGAAUUGUGGAUCUAUGUUUACCCAUUUGAGGAACUGCCAGAUUCUUUUCCACAGUAACUGCACCAUUUUAUAUUGUCUAGUUGUGUAUGAGUUUUGAUUUCCCCAUGUCCUUGCCAAUACUUAUUACCUUUAUAUUUGAUUCUAGCACAUCCUUGUGUGUAGUAUCUUAUUAUUUUGCUUUCCAUUUCGCUGUUGGCUAAAGGUCCUGGGAUUUUAUUAUACCUUUAUGCAUAAAGAAAGUAAACAGAAUUCCCUUAACAUAAAAAUAUUUUAACUAUUUAUGGCUUUCAGUAAAACACAGAUGACAGUUUAAACGUUAUUACCUGGGCAGCAAAUAAUGAAAUAAAUAACUAAUAGGUUUACAGAUUUAGAAAGUAAGGGACAGGAGAGCGAGGCUAAUAUUCAUUUAAUGUUCUCAAUUUAACACUUUAUUAUAUCAGUUUCUUUGAAAUAAAUU
Acinonyx jubatus (cheetah) is the source of this 3308-nucleotide long non-coding RNA. RefSeq lists it as uncharacterized. The record is from RefSeq and is a predicted model, not a curated record. NCBI's taxonomy places the organism in Eukaryota, Metazoa, Chordata, Mammalia, Carnivora, Felidae. The transcript is spliced from 5 exons.